RNAcentral lists this ribosomal RNA (252 nucleotides) under uncultured bacterium. Its description in RNAcentral is "partial 16S ribosomal RNA". It matches the Rfam family "Bacterial small subunit ribosomal RNA", at positions 330 to 601 of the family's 1533-position model. The record is from RNAcentral.
GCCUGCCUACGGGACGCAGCAGUGGGGAAUAUUGCACAAUGGGGGAAACCCUGAUGCAGCAACGCCGCGUGAAGGAAGACGGUUUUCGGAUUGUAAACUUCUGUUCUUAGUGAAGAAAAAUGACGGUAGCUAAGGAGCAAGCCACGGCUAACUACGUGCCAGCAGCCGCGGUAAUACGGAGGGUGCAAGCGUUACUCGGAAUCACUGGGCGUAAAGAGCGAGUAGGCGGGUGGUCAAGUCAGGUGGGAAAUC